RNAcentral lists this long non-coding RNA (551 nucleotides) under Trifolium pratense (red clover). RNAcentral's name for it is "long non-coding RNA (TPRA_LNC006472)". Lineage: Eukaryota; Viridiplantae; Streptophyta; Magnoliopsida; Fabales; Fabaceae. The record is from RNAcentral.
AGAUUUAAAUAUUAUUUAGAUUUAUAUUUAAAAUAUGAUAAUAUUAGGUUUUAUGAUUUAUAUUUAUAUUUAGAAUAUUUAAGAUUUGUUUAGAAUUUAUUAUAGGAUUAGUUUUGUUUUAAAAAUAUAUGAUUUGUUUUUUAUGUAGCUCUAUAUAUAGAGCCAUAAACAUAAUGAAUAAAAUAAGAACUUUAGUAUUCUUCAUAUAACCCUAUAUUUGAGGAGAGUUUUCUCCCUAAAUUUAUAUCUCACCAAAUUCCGCAAUACAAAAACACAAAAAACCAUAUAAAAAAUAACGUGAAUGACAUAGAUAGAAUGGAUCAAACUAUUCAUAAUACAUGGUUUAGAUAAUUCAAAACUUGGACAGAGGAAGAGCAUUCGAUAAAGAAGUAGCCAUAGUCGUGAAAGCUGAUUAUCAAAGGAAAAUGAUAAUGAUUAGGGUAUAAAAAGGUGUCCAAAAUGUGGGAGAAGCCAAAACCAAAACCAAAACCAAAACCAAAGUUACGAGUAUAAGGAAGGAUGAGGUAUUUAGAAACACAACUUAAGAAAAC